This 912-nucleotide ribosomal RNA is filed under the name uncultured crenarchaeote. Its description in RNAcentral is "bacterial SSU rRNA". It matches the Rfam family "Archaeal small subunit ribosomal RNA", at positions 1 to 922 of the family's 1478-position model. The record is from RNAcentral. Lineage: Archaea; Thermoproteati; Thermoproteota.
UUCCGGUUGAUCCUGCCGGACCCGACUGCUAUCAGAGUGGGAUUAAGCCAUGCGAGUCAACGUAGCAAUACGUGGCAUACGGCUCAGUAACACGUAGUCAACAUGCCCAGGGGACGUGGAUAACCUCGGGAAACUGAGAUUAAACCGCGAUAGGCCAAGAUUUCUGGAAUGGAUCAUGGCCUAAAUCUAUAUGGCCCUUGGAUUGGACUGCGACCGAUCAGGCUGUUGGUGAGGUAAUGGCCCACCAAACCUAUAACCGGUACGGGCUCUGAGAGGAGGAGCCCGGAGAUGGGUACUGAGACAAGGACCCAGGCCCUAUGGGGCGCAGCAGGCGCGAAACCUCUGCAAUAGGCGAAAGCCUGACAGGGUUACUCUGAGUGACUUUCGCUAAGAAAGUCUUUUGACAUCUGUAAAAAUGGUGUAGAAUAAGGGGUGGGCAAGUCUGGUGUCAGCCGCCGCGGUAAUACCAGCACCCCGAGUGGUCGGGACGAUUAUUGGGCCUAAAGCAUCCGUAGCCGGUUUUACAAGUCCUCCGUUAAAUCCAACUGCUUAACAGAUGGGCUGCGGAGGAUACUAUAAGACUAGGAGGCAGGAGAGGCAAGCGGUACUCAGUGGGUAGGGGUAAAAUCCGUUGAUCCAUUGAAGACCACCAGUGGCGAAGGCGGCUUGCCAGAAUGCGCUCGACGGUGAGGGAUGAAAGCUGGGGGAGCAAACCGGAUUAGAUACCCGGGUAGUCCCAGCUGUAAACGAUGCAGACUCGGUGAUGGACCAGCUUAAUGCUAGUCCAGUGCCGCAGGGAAGCCGUUAAGUCUGCCGCCUGGGUAGUACGGUCGCAAGGCUGAAACUUAAAGGAAUUGGCGGGGGAGCACCACAAGGGGUGAAGCCUGCGGUUCAAUUGGAUUCAACGCCGGG